UGAACCUAAGCAUUUCAGAUCAACCUCUAGAAGAGAAUGUUACUGAUUAAAGGGGAGGGGGUGUCGUGUAGAAAUAAUUGAGUGACCAAAGCCACAGCUGCUAUCCUGAAAAUAUCUGCUGCUUAACGCUGAAGACCAAAGGAUCAUACAGAUUAUUAUUUCACUUGUAAAGCUCGUCAGAUGAUUGUAACAACACCCUUAGAAUUGUCACUGUCUCAGAAGGACUCAGCAGCUUAGCAGCUAGUUUAAGCAAUGAAAUGAUAAGAGAUUCAGAAACUAAGCAUUCCUCUACCCAUAGAGCAGAGCGACCCAUUCUUCAUUAUUUUGUAGAGGAUGUCUAAUAACACAAGCAUGACCAAGUUUACUAGAAAUACCAUGUUAUUUCAGGAGCAGGUUCACCCGAAAAGGCACAAGAUACUGUGAGAACUUUUCCUUCAUCAAUACUGAUAUCAGAUGGGAGAGCUUCAAUUUUGGGUGGUAUUCCUUUACAAAACAGGAGAAGAAAUAUCAAGUUAGUCUGUUUCCACUAAGCCCUUUUGACAUGCAGCAGGUUUACUCUAGGGACUACUUCAGGAUAUUCAAAGCACUAACUCUACCAAUAAUUGUAUUGCUCACCUCUCAGACCUGAUUUAAGCAUCUUACUAGUUGAACUUUCCAGUUGAGCCACACUAGAUUUCCCCAUAAUACUGCUGGAGCUCAUCUCUACAAAGGAUUCUUUCAUGGAGGACAUGCUUUUGGCAGACAUGCUCGCAAAUUUCAUUUCAGUCAUGCUGCUACUGCUGAAACUGCUGAAUGAAGCCUCUUGUUUAGAAGAAGCCAUUUGAAAGGACUGAGAAGAAAAACUGUCGCGCAUGCUUGCGUCGCCACUUGUCUUCAAUACUACCUCUUUUGGAGGUUCUUCAAUUAGAGCUGGGAGCAUCGCAAACAUAGAAGAAAAACCAAUAACAUCACAUUAACUAAAGAAGUCAUGCAGUCUAUACGGUUAAUUUCACAGAAAUGAAGAGCGCAUUGUUUGCUUUCAAUGGAAAACUGCAGUGGAGAAUAAAAUUCUUUACGAUCAUUUGAUUCAAGAUGUCCAAGUUACAAAUGCUAAUUUGUAAAUGAAACAAGUAGGAAGCAGAACUGUUACUAGUAUAUAUGAGCUUGAAGGAAAAACAUACUUAAGAAGAAAUAGGUCAUCACACAGCAUUUCCUAUUAAAGCUAUUAGUAGAAUUUGA
This is a long non-coding RNA of Cygnus olor (mute swan), 1218 nucleotides long. RefSeq lists it as uncharacterized. The transcript has 2 exons. The record is from RefSeq and is a predicted model, not a curated record. NCBI's taxonomy places the organism in Eukaryota, Metazoa, Chordata, Aves, Anseriformes, Anatidae.